Small nuclear RNA from Cyprinus carpio (common carp), 108 nucleotides. Its record names the gene U2. It matches the Rfam family "U2 spliceosomal RNA". From Rfam's summary of the family: U2 is a small nuclear RNA (snRNA) component of the spliceosome (involved in pre-mRNA splicing). The record is from Ensembl. NCBI's taxonomy places the organism in Eukaryota, Metazoa, Chordata, Actinopteri, Cypriniformes, Cyprinidae.
AUCGCUUCUCGGCCUUUUGGCUAAGAUCAAGUGUAGUAUCUGUUCUUAUCAGUUUAAUUUUGGGGAAGUUGUGGCCUAGUGGUUAGAGAGUUUGAUUCCUAACCCUAA